Molecule: long non-coding RNA, 921 nt
Organism: Herpailurus yagouaroundi (jaguarundi)
Lineage: Eukaryota; Metazoa; Chordata; Mammalia; Carnivora; Felidae
Exons: 7
Source: RefSeq, a predicted model, not a curated record
UACUUACUCUUUAUUGAUAAUGUCUACUUCAUAGGUUUGUGUGGGGGGAAAAAGGCAGAUAUACAGUAAUCAUUAAAUUUCCUUCUUUUAUUUUUAUUGUUUCAGAGAAAUCCACCAUUAGCUCUUGAAAAUUUUUCUUUAACCAUGGUCUCUUGGAAAUAUUACCUUUAUGAUUGUAGCUAAGAAAACCAAAAAUACUGAUGACUGAAUUUUCCUCUUUGCAAGUCAAUGGGUUCAAAAUAUUGAACCUGUACCUGAUGACAUCAGUGGACAUUUAGUCUUACAAGAUCCCCCAUACGGAAGCCAUAGUGAAAGCUGGAGCAAGGUGCUAUUGAAAAUAUGAAGGGUGACAUGAGGAUGUGGACUUCCCACUCAUGCAGCUUAUUCAUGUCCUCUGUUUGUGUUUUGUUCCAAGCCUGGAUAUUCUGCUUCUGAAUCUGUCCACCUCUGACUUGAUAUUCCAGCCCUUACAUGAGUGUCAACUAUAUGCUCCAUUCGUCAUCAGUAUCAUCAUCAGUAAUCACAUGCUGCAAUCGGUAUUCAUUCACUGACCUCCAAAAGAGAGUAGGUAUAGAUCACAAUACAAUGGACAUAAUAGGUGUGAUUCAUCGUGUAAUCAAGAAUGGAAAAUUAACAGUAAAUUGAGGUCCAGAUGCAAAGAAACUGGCUUGUUUUCUGUGUUUACACUGUGAUUGUCAGUGACCAUUAUCUGCUGGGUCCAAGUAAUACUGGAAAUAGCUUCUUCAGGUGUUCUCUACAUUUUUAUGAGAAAUGAACAGCACUUUCAUUAUAGAAAAAAAAGAGAAAAUGUUAAAAUUCGAAAUGAAGAAAUUAUCCAUGGAAUUCUUACAUUGCUAAAAGAGAGAAGGCAAGAGCAACAAGAUAAAAACAUAAAUAAAAACAAACACCAAGAGGUUGAUA